This 200-nucleotide ribosomal RNA is filed under the name uncultured bacterium. Its description in RNAcentral is "partial 16S ribosomal RNA". It matches the Rfam family "Bacterial small subunit ribosomal RNA", at positions 8 to 206 of the family's 1533-position model. The record is from RNAcentral.
AGAGUUUGAUCCUGGCUCAGGACGAACGCUGGCGGCGUGCUUAACACAUGCAAGUGGAGCGACGAACCGGGCUUCGGCCCGGGGCAGAGCCGCGAACGGGUGAGUAACACGUGGGUAACCUACCCCGAUGACCGGGACAACCCGAGGAAACUCGGGCUAAUACCGGAUGUGCUCGUUGGUCAUGAGGUCAACGAGUAAAG